RNAcentral lists this ribosomal RNA (589 nucleotides) under uncultured bacterium. RNAcentral describes it as "bacterial SSU rRNA". It matches the Rfam family "Bacterial small subunit ribosomal RNA", at positions 100 to 670 of the family's 1533-position model. The record is from RNAcentral.
CCGGGUGAGUAACACGUGGGUAAUCUACCUCUGGGUGGGGAAUAACGUCUCGAAAGAGACGCUAAUACCGCAUAAUGCAGCGGCACCUAAUGGUGAAUAGUUGUUAAAGCGGGGGAUCGCAAGACCUCGCGCCUGAAGAGGAGCCUGCGGCAGAUUAGCUAGUUGGUGAGGUAAUGGCUCACCAAGGCUGCGAUCUGUAGCUGGUCUGAGAGGACGGCCAGCCACACUGGCACUGACACACGGGCCAGACUCCUACGGGAGGCAGCAGUGGGGAAUUUUGGGCAAUGGGCGAAAGCCUGACCCAGCAACGCCGCGUGAGGGAGGAAAUCCUUCGGGAUGUAAACCUCGCAAGCAAGGGAAGAAUGCUUCAGACCUAACACGUCUGAAGAGGGACGGUACCUUGCGUAAGCCACGGCUAACUACGUGCCAGCAGCCGCGGUAAUACGUAGGUGGCAAGCGUUGUUCGGAAUUAUUGGGCGUAAAGGGCGCGUAGGCGGUUUGUUAAGUCGGUUGUGAAAGCCCGGGGCUCAACCCCGGAGGGUCGACCGAUACUGGCAGGCUAGAGUACAGAAGAGGUAGCUGGAAUUCC